RNAcentral lists this ribosomal RNA (352 nucleotides) under uncultured bacterium. Its description in RNAcentral is "bacterial SSU rRNA". It matches the Rfam family "Bacterial small subunit ribosomal RNA", at positions 917 to 1267 of the family's 1533-position model. The record is from RNAcentral.
GGACCCGCACAAGUAGUGGAGCAUGUGGUUUAAUUCGAAGAUACGCGCAGAACCUUACCAACACUUGACAUGUUCGUCGCGACUUUAAGAGAUUAAAGUUUUCGGUUCGGCCGGACGAAACACAGGUGCUGCAUGGCUGUCGUCAGCUCGUGUCGUGAGAUGUUGGUUAAGUCCCGCAACGAGCGCAACCCUCACUUUUAGUUGCCAUCAUUUAGUUGGGCACUCUGAAAGAACUGCCAGUGAUAAGCUGGAGGAAGGUGGGGAUGACGUCAAGUCCUCAUGGCCCUUACGUGUUGGGCUACACACGUGCUACAAUGGCAUUUACAAUAGGAAGCAAGACGGCGACGUUAAG